UAAGACGAACCGUGCGAACGUUGUUCGGAAUCACUGGGCAUAAAGGGCGCGUAGGCGGCUUUUCAAGUCAGGGGUGAAAUCCGGCAGCUCAACUGUCGAAGUGCCCUUGAUACUGAUGAGCUCGAGGGAGGUAGGGGUGUGUGGAACUUCCGGUGGAGCGGUGAAAUGCGUUGAUAUCGGAAGGAACGCCGGUGGCGAAAGCGACGCACUGGACCUCUUCUGACGCUGAGGCGCGAAAGCCAGGGGAGCAAACGGGAUUAGAUACCCCGGUAGUCCUGGCCCUAAACGAUGGGUACUAGAUAGUGGACUUACAUGGGUUCACUGUCGAAGCUAAUGUGUUAAGUACCCCGCCUGGGGAGUAUGGUCGCAAGGCUG
This 375-nucleotide ribosomal RNA is filed under the name uncultured bacterium. RNAcentral describes it as "bacterial SSU rRNA". It matches the Rfam family "Bacterial small subunit ribosomal RNA", at positions 521 to 896 of the family's 1533-position model. The record is from RNAcentral.